This 253-nucleotide ribosomal RNA is filed under the name uncultured bacterium. RNAcentral describes it as "partial 16S ribosomal RNA". It matches the Rfam family "Bacterial small subunit ribosomal RNA", at positions 524 to 776 of the family's 1533-position model. The record is from RNAcentral.
UACGGGGGGGGCAAGCGUUGUUCGGAAUUACUGGGCGUAAAGGGCUCGUAGGCGGCCAACUAAGUCAGACGUGAAAUCCCUCGGCUUAACCGGGGAACUGCGUCUGAUACUGGAUGGCUUGAGUUUGGGAGAGGGAUGCGGAAUUCCAGGUGUAGCGGUGAAAUGCGUAGAUAUCGGGAGGAACACCAGUGGCGAAGGCGGCUACCUGGCACAUAACUGACGCUGAUACGCGAAAGCGUGGGGAGCGAACCGG